Molecule: transfer RNA, 73 nt
Filed under: Myxococcota bacterium
Lineage: Bacteria; Pseudomonadati; Myxococcota
Also listed under: 1 other name
Description: tRNA-Gly
Rfam family: tRNA
About the family: Transfer RNA (tRNA) molecules are approximately 80 nucleotides in length. Their secondary structure includes four short double-helical elements and three loops (D, anti-codon, and T loops). Further hydrogen bonds mediate the characteristic L-shaped molecular structure. tRNAs have two regions of fundamental functional importance: the anti-codon, which is responsible for specific mRNA codon recognition, and the 3' end, to which the tRNAs corresponding amino acid is attached (by aminoacyl-tRNA synthetases). tRNAs cope with the degeneracy of the genetic code in two manners: having more than one tRNA (with a specific anti-codon) for a particular amino acid; and 'wobble' base-pairing, i.e. permitting non-standard base-pairing at the 3rd anti-codon position.
Source: RNAcentral
GCGGGCUUAGCUCAGUUGGUAGAGCGUCAGCUUCCCAAGCUGAAUGUCGUCGGUUCGAGUCCGAUAGCCCGCU